Molecule: ribosomal RNA, 943 nt
Filed under: human oral metagenome
Description: bacterial SSU rRNA
Rfam family: Bacterial small subunit ribosomal RNA
Source: RNAcentral
AGAGUUUGAUCCUGGCUCAGGACGAACGCUGGCGGCGUGCUUAACACAUGCAAGUCGAACGAAAAUACCAAGCUUGCUUGGUUGAUUAGUGGCGAACGGGUGAGUAACACGUGAGUAACCUGCCCCUUACUUUCCUGGAUAACUGCUCGAAAGGGUAGCUAAUACGGGAUAUUCUGACCAUCCUGCAUGGGUUGGUUUGGAAAGGUUGUUUUUCUGGUAAGGGAUGGGCUCGCGGCCUAUCAGCUUGUUGGUGGGGUGAUGGCCUACCAAGGCUUUGACGGGUAGCCGGCCUGAGAGGGUGGACGGUCACACUGGGACUGAGAUACGGCCCAGACUCCUACGGGAGGCAGCAGUGGGGAAUAUUGCACAAUGGGCGCAAGCCUGAUGCAGCGACGCCGCGUGAGGGAUGAAGGCCUUCGGGUUGUAAACCUCUUUCGUCAGGGAACAAGGCACUGCUUUUUUGGUGGUGUUGAGGGUACCUGGAUAAGAAGCGCCGGCUAACUACGUGCCAGCAGCCGCGGUAAUACGUAGGGCGCAAGCGUUGUCCGGAAUUAUUGGGCGUAAAGAGCUCGUAGGCGGCUGGUCGCGUCUGUCGUGAAAACUUCCGGCUCAACCGGGGGCUUGCGGUGGGUACGGGCCGGCUAGAGUGCGGUAGGGGUAACUGGAACUCCUGGUGUAGCGGUGGAAUGCGCAGAUAUCAGGAAGAACACCGAUGGCGAAGGCAGGUUACUGGGCCGUUACUGACGCUGAGGAGCGAAAGCGUGGGGAGCGAACAGGAUUAGAUACCCUGGUAGUCCACGCCGUAAACGUUGGGCACUAGGUGUGAGGCUCCUUUCCGGGGGUUUUGCGCCGUAGCUAACGCAUUAAGUGCCCCGCCUGGGGAGUACGGCCGCAAGGCUAAAACUCAAAGGAAUUGACGGGGGCCCGCACAAGCGGCGGAGCA